RNAcentral lists this ribosomal RNA (400 nucleotides) under uncultured bacterium. RNAcentral describes it as "bacterial SSU rRNA". It matches the Rfam family "Bacterial small subunit ribosomal RNA", at positions 355 to 772 of the family's 1533-position model. The record is from RNAcentral.
UGGGGAAUUUUGGACAAUGGGGGCAACCCUGAUCCAGCAAUGCCGCGUGUGUGAAGAAGGCCUUCGGGUUGUAAAGCUCUUUUACCAGGGACGAUAAUGACGGUACCUGGCGAAUAAGCCCCGGCAAACUUCGUGCCAGCAGCCGCGGUAAUACGAAGGGGGCUAGCGUUGUUCGGAAUUACUGGGCGUAAAGAGCACGUAGGCGGGUCGUUAAGUCAGGGGUGAAAUCCCAGAGCUCAACUCCGGAACUGCCUUUGAUACUGGCGACCUAGAGUCCGGAAGAGGUUAGUGGAAUUCCCAGUGUAGAGGUGAAAUUCGUAGAUAUUGGGAAGAACACCAGUGGCGAAGGCGGCUAACUGGUCCGGUACUGACGCUGAGGAGCGAAAGCGUGGGGAGCGAA